GACGAACGCUGGCGGCGUGCCUAAUACAUGCAAGUAGAACGCUGAAGGAGGAGCUUGCUCUUCUGGAUGAGUUGCGAACGGGUGAGUAACGCGUAGGUAACCUGCCUGGUAGCGGGGGAUAACUAUUGGAAACGAUAGCUAAUACCGCAUAAGAGUAGAUGUUGCAUGACAUUUGCUUAAAAGGUGCAAUUGCAUCACUACCAGAUGGACCUGCGUUGUAUUAGCUAGUUGGUGGGGUAACGGCUCACCAAGGCGACGAUACAUAGCCGACCUGGGAGGGUGAUCGGCCACACUGGGACUGAGACACGGCCCAGACUCCUACGGGAGGCAGCAGUAGGGAAUCUUCGGCAAUGGACGGAAGUCUGACCGAGCAACGCCGCGUGAGUGAAGAAGGUUUUCGGAUCGUAAAGCUCUGUUGUAAGAGAAGAACGAGUGUGAGAGUGGAAAGUUCACACUGUGACGGUAUCUUACCAGAAAGGGACGGCUAACUACGU
RNAcentral lists this ribosomal RNA (494 nucleotides) under uncultured bacterium. RNAcentral's name for it is "partial 16S ribosomal RNA". It matches the Rfam family "Bacterial small subunit ribosomal RNA", at positions 28 to 506 of the family's 1533-position model. The record is from RNAcentral.